This 424-nucleotide unclassified non-coding RNA is filed under the name Hevea brasiliensis (rubber tree). The record is from RNAcentral. Lineage: Eukaryota; Viridiplantae; Streptophyta; Magnoliopsida; Malpighiales; Euphorbiaceae.
GGAAAAUCUUGUGCAUUUUUUGAAUCGAAAUUAGAUUUAACCAAAACAUUGAACCAAGAUUUUUGUGGGGGCAAUUAUGACGAAGAGGAGAAUGUUAUAAACUCUAUUUCAGUUAAUGCUUUGCAAUAUUUGGCCACAUCACAAUAGAAUAGUAAACUCAAGAAUUAUGAAUGUAAUGAGUAUUUCUUCUAUCAAUAGAUUUCCACAAUAAUCUGUAGCAAUUUUUAAGCAAGUUCAUCUUUUAAUUUUCUUUUUCCAUAACAUAUGUUGCUAUGUUUUUUUCUGCAUAGUUCAUCACAUCCUCCAUCAUUAUUUUCUGUAAAUCGUAUUGACAAGCCUCCCUGACGCCAUUGAAAUCAGUUAAUAAAAUCUCAUACACCUAUGAUGCCCAAUAAUCACAGUUCUAUCACUUUCUCUUAUUCAA